AAUCUUACCGGGUCCGGACACACUGAGGAUUGACAGGCGAUAUAACGAAUCUUAUUUCUUAAUAAGAUAUUCGUUAUUCAAAUAUGCUAGUCCUUUCAUGAUUAUGUGGUAGGUGGUGCAUGGCCGUUCUUAGUUCGUGGAGUGAUCUGUCUGCUUAAUUGCGUUUCACUAAGGUCCCAUAUACUAAAGGCAUGUCGACCUCUCUUUAGGCUUAAUUAAGGCUUGGACCCCUCUUUUAUUAAGAGCGAGUGUCUAAUGUCUUAUUAUCCUUUAUAUAAGAUAGUGUCGUAUGCUGUUGGGAUCUGAAAGCAACGAACGUGACCGCAACGUCUUGUUGCCUUACCUAUACUGGUAUUAUACUUAAUACC
Molecule: ribosomal RNA, 368 nt
Filed under: Globorotalia scitula
Lineage: Eukaryota; Foraminifera; Rotaliida; Globorotaliidae
Description: SSU rRNA
Rfam family: Eukaryotic small subunit ribosomal RNA
Source: RNAcentral